RNAcentral lists this ribosomal RNA (587 nucleotides) under uncultured bacterium. Its description in RNAcentral is "bacterial SSU rRNA". It matches the Rfam family "Bacterial small subunit ribosomal RNA", at positions 338 to 916 of the family's 1533-position model. The record is from RNAcentral.
CCUACGGGAGGCAGCAGUGGGGAAUUUUGGACAAUGGGCGAAAGCCUGAUCCAGCAAUGCCGCGUGAGUGAAGAAGGCCUUCGGGUUGUAAAGCUCUUUUGUCAGGGAAGAAACGGUGUUUUCUAAUACAGAAUGCUAAUGACGGUACCUGAAGAAUAAGCACCGGCUAACUACGUGCCAGCAGCCGCGGUAAUACGUAGGGUGCAAGCGUUAAUCGGAAUUACUGGGCGUAAAGCGUGCGCAGGCGGUUUUGUAAGUCUGACGUGAAAUCCCCGUGCUCAACCUGGGAAUUGCGUUGGAGACUGCAAGGCUAGAGUUUGGCAGAGGGGGGUAGAAUUCCACGUGUAGCAGUGAAAUGCGUAGAUAUGUGGAGGAACACCGAUGGCGAAGGCAGCCCCCUGGGUCAAGACUGGCGCUCAUGCACGAAAGCGUGGGGAGCAAACAGGAUUAGAUACCCUGGUAGUCCACGCCCUAAACGAUGUCUACUAGUUGUCGGGUCUUAAUUGACUUGGUAACGCAGCUAACGCGUGAAGUAGACCGCCUGGGGAGUACGGUCGCAAGAUUAAAACUCAAAAUGAAAUUGACGG